AACCUUGGGCCUGGCUGGCCGGUCCGCCUCACCGCGUGCACUGGUCCGGCCGGGCCUUUCCCUCUGUGGAACCGCAUGCCCUUCACUGGGUGUGCCGGGGAAACAGGACUUUUACUUUGAAAAAAUUAGAGUGCUCCAGGCAGGCCUAUGCUCGAAUACAUUAGCAUGGAAUAAUAGAAUAGGACGUGUGGUUCUAUUUUGUUGGUUUCUAGGACCGCCGUAAUGAUUAAUAGGGACAGUCGGGGGCAUCAGUAUUCAAUUGUCAGAGGUGAAAUUCUUGGAUUUAUUGAAGACUAACUACUGCGAAAGCAUUUGCCAAGGAUGUUUUCAUUUAUCAGGAACGAAAGUUAGGGGAUCGAAGACGAUCAGAUACCGUCGUAGUCUUAACCAUAAACUAUGCCGACUAGGGAUCGGACGAUGUUAUUUUUUGACUCGUUCGGCACCUUACGAGAAAUCAAAGUGCUUGGGCUCCAGGGGGAGUAUGGUCGCAAGGCUGAAACUUAAAGAAAUUGACGGAAGGGCACCACCAGGU
RNAcentral lists this ribosomal RNA (532 nucleotides) under Colletotrichum truncatum. Its description in RNAcentral is "SSU rRNA". It matches the Rfam family "Eukaryotic small subunit ribosomal RNA", at positions 637 to 1175 of the family's 1831-position model. The record is from RNAcentral. Lineage: Eukaryota; Fungi; Ascomycota; Sordariomycetes; Glomerellales; Glomerellaceae.